Hemibagrus wyckioides is the source of this 4176-nucleotide long non-coding RNA. RefSeq lists it as uncharacterized. Lineage: Eukaryota; Metazoa; Chordata; Actinopteri; Siluriformes; Bagridae. The record is from RefSeq and is a predicted model, not a curated record. The transcript has 4 exons.
GUUUUUGUUGUUGUUGUUUUCUCCCUCUCUCUCCCCCUCCUCCCCACCAACGGUCGAGUCGGUUUGAUUUUUAAAUUCGUUUCGAACGCUCGUGACAAGAAAACGAAUUCGCCAACGGCUGGCUCUCUCUCUCUCUCUCUCUCUCUCUCUCUCUGUGAGGUAACACGUUAGCAAUAUCGCUAUGAUCGUAUUGUUAAUGUAGACUGUGACUAAACGCUGAAAAUGUUUCGAUCUUUUGAAUGAUUUCUGUCAGGUUUCAGGUUUGAUUUAGCUACUAGCUAACUAUCCAUCUAAUAUCCAGGUCAUUAAUCAGUAAAAAAAAAAAAACCUGACCAGGUUCAAGGUUCUGUCCGGUAGCGUCGAUAUGUCUUCGGGUUGUUUAAACACACAGGGUCGCCAAAAAAAGCUCGAACCCUUAACAAACCAUUGCUAAAAGUGUACAGGUAUACAUCUGUAAUUUCCUGAUUUCUUUCACAUUAGUAGUCAGAAUAUCACGCAAGUCCAUUAGGGCCCAUUAAACCACAGCUAACAGACCAGAAGGGAAGGUCAACACCACAAACCAGAAACGUCUUUCAGGACACUUUUUGAUCGCAUUAAAAGACCAUUCAGGAUGGGUCAGAGGUCACCAUUACGGCAUUCGCGUCCUGAUAUACCCCAAACUUAUCAACAAAAUACAGAUGCUACGUAACAGCUACUAUGAAAUAACAGCAAAAAUAAUUCAUUGUUUAUUAUUCAAUCACAAGCAUGGCCUACAUUAAAUUUUUAUUAUGUUUUCAUUUAUGUGAAUUUAAUUUUCUCCUGUAAACCGUUAAGCUAGCAAUAAUUCAGCAAUGCGUAAUAAUUAUUCACACAAGUGUCCAUUGUUUUUCCCUUAAACCAUUAAAAAGCAGUGUUUCUCGAUCUGCAGUACUACUGACCUGCACAUGCUGAUAUUUUCCCUCCCCUAACUCAUCAGCUGAUUAACUAAUUAAGUUAGGAGUUGAGGUGUGAGGUAUAUAAGGAGCAGGAUUUAGAACCUCAGAAUCCUACAACAGCAAGAAUCUCAAGUAGAACCGAAUCAGACAAAACAAAAGAAUGUCAGGACUACUGACCGCCGCAGGAAUCCGCCAGGCACGGUUUUUCUUAAUAGACCAUGGUAGCACUCAGGUUUGUGGCUAGAAGUUUUGACCAACCUCUCAGAAGACCAAGGAGGAGAAGAUUAGCACCGGUCGAUAGCAUCGGUCGUCAUGCUAACGUCCUGGAAAUAAAACGUCCCAGAGUUGCAGUAGCCACUCUGCUGUAGUCGGAGCAUUUGGUGCAAUUAUCCACUCUCUCUGGCGCCACUGUCAGCAUAUAGAAAUGCAAAUUGUGCAGAGAAAUGUUUUGCCUUUCUUUUCGAAAAGCAGACAAAGAGUCGGGUGAUGCCGGCACCUCAGAUCCACAGCGUGGGCAAUUAGUUUCAAUUAUUCCCACUGUCCUGCAUCUCUACAACAUCGGCGUGAACCAGAAUAACCUGUUGAUUGACAGUAAAAAAAGUGAUGCGGAGAAGGAGACAGACGCUAAGCCCUCGUGCUAAUUAGCUGGGGACCACGGAGAGCUCCACGGCUGACAUCCCGACCUCUCUUUCCUCUUCCUGAGCUCAAAAUCACACUGUGUGUGUUUCUUUCUACAAAAUGUAAAUUCACGUCUAGAUUUAGAAACCAGAAUGUGAGAAUUAACCUCUGAAUAAAUACAUUUCUAAUGACCCACUUUAUCCGAAGUGAAGAAAAGCUGAGAAGGAUUUUGCUUAAGGUCCUUAUGUGGCAGUAAUGUGGUCACUAGCAUCAAAACAAAGCCACUACUGACCUUCAGUAAUGACUAAAUGAAAGGAAGUGUCUAAGAACAAAAAUAUCUUUCCUUAGGCUUUAACACAAGGAUUCUACAGUGUCAAUGAUUUAUUUUAAUAUUUAUUUUUUUUAACUCAAUUAAAGAGCCAAAUUCAAAAAACAUUAGGUCUAGCUUCUGUCCAUGACGUUAUCCUGGAUGUAAGGUGUUUUGUUGGUGUUUAAUUAGGUUCAUGAAUUUAAUCUGUUCUGAAAAUGUUUUGAUUUUAAAAUUUGCUUAUUUUAAUUUUCCUGACUUUGUUCCUCUGUAAAGGCAAAGUGCUUUAACGGAUCUCAAUAAAGCCAUCUUUAUUUAUCAGAGCGGAUUAUCAAACACGUCAGGAUCGGUAUAAUCGUGGCUAAGCAGUCUAUGUGGAUUUGUUGGACCUGUCACGGGUUGAGUUAACGUGAGGUUCUGCAAGUCUGAGACAUUUCUGAGGAAGGUAUCAGAUGAGCGAGCGUGUGCUGCUUCAACACUCAUCCAAAAUCUGGCGUAGGAUGACAUAAAAACUCUUGGGACAGCUCCAUAUAUGGUAGCAACAAUGAUGAAAUGGGAAUGAAACAUGCUAACGGACAGAAAUAUGAUCUCCUCGUUACCUCAAGGUCACUUUGAAGAGUGUUUAAAGAAAAGCUCAUCUACGAAAAAUGUUGAUCAUUGAUGAAUAGAAAAUGUUGCAGGUCUACGAUAAGAGGAUCUUCAUCAUAUAUCUGACAAGAACAUACGUUCUUAUUAUAUGCUUUUAGCUUGUCUGUGGGAUAAGGACCAAGGACAGCACCAUGACUCAGGACCAAGAACAGCUCCAUUGCACCACUACUCAGAACCAUGGACAGCUCCUCUGAAAUGUAGAGACUACUUCUAUAAAAUGAUCUUCUUUCACAACACAAGCACAAGUGAAUGAGCUGUUACUAUAGAAACCUAAAUUAAAAUGAAAUAUAAACCUGUGUUUUGUAGCUGCAGAGAAAAUCAAUCAACAGCGUCUGACCAAUCAGAAUUCAGAACAGUGGUACAGAGAUGGUUAUGUUGCUCAUUACGGUCCUGAUGCUCACAAUUACUGAGUGCCAACCUUUUUUUUUUCUUGACUCAGUGAAAACCCCACCCCAUUACUCUCAGCCUCUGGCAGUUUACCCUCUUUGAGAUUCACAGAUGGUCAGAAAUUUCGCAUUUAUUCCACCAUGUUUUAAGCCAAUUUUUUUUUCCCCAGCACAUGUAUGACAAACACAAAGAACAGCGACGAGCAACAACCAAUAAGAGUAAAACAAGAACUUCAGUCAUCAGCCUGGAGGCUAUUUGACGCUCUGUGUGGACCAAGAAAUGGACGGAAAGCUAAUCAAACUUUGGCAAGAACAUAAACGCUUUGCUUUUUUGUGUGUGUCAAGUUGGAACAUUAUCAUAAAUGAAAAGAAGUAAAAGCAGAAUCCCAUGGUUUCUAGCGAUGAUGUUGGAAAUGAGUUCUCUCCAGAAUCUUUUUCCAGAACAGACCAUCCUGACUGCCCUCAGCUCCCCAAACAAAAUCUCUCCCAUACAACCAGCUCUGAGUUCUUCCCUUACUCAUGUCCAAGUCACAAACUCAACACAUUUGGCAGUCAAACACAGUUCCUACUACAUGCUGUUUCUUAUGGGAAAAAUUGGAUUUUUGGGAAUGGUGUGGACUUUAUGGUCAGGUAAAAAUAAUAAUCUAGUGUGCAUGCUUUGGUCAGUAUGUCAUAAAGAUCCCAAACAAUUCCAGUUGCAUAUUUUUAAUGUAAGAUCUUGGAAGUGAAAAAGACAUUUUAAAUGAAUUUGCCAGUCCUGGUCUCUUGGGUAAGUUCUGCUCUUUGCCUUUAAAGACUUUAAUAAGAUCAUCCAACAAACAUCACUUGAGCUGUCUUGUAACGUGCCAAAUGGUUAAGAUGACAUCCAUAAAAUGUCUUUUUCCCAGAGGCCCCAAAAUGCUUCUGUUUUGUUGUGUUUGAAUGUCUUUGUCAUGUCUCACUCCACAGUGGAGGUUACUAUGAAGCUCAUAUGAAAGCAGACACUCAGGACUUCAGGAUUUCUGUGUAUUUUUCCAUAGCUUACCAGGGACAAUAUAUUCAUAGGAAAGUACAGAAAAAUUACGGUUAUUUUUUUCCACACAAAUGUUUGUAUCUUCAGAGUAAAUGUUGAGAUCAAACCCAUUUCUGCUCUCUGAGAUGUUCUCCGAGUGCUUGUUCAUCUAAAAAGUAGCUCAGAUUUCAUCUUCAACCAGGAAAAUUCUGUGUAAGGUUCUCCAACAGAGGGAAAAACACACGGCUAAAACACACCAACAGACUCAUUUUAGAUCAGACUCAGCCUGAGCAUCAUUCAUUACUUUAUACU